RNAcentral lists this ribosomal RNA (503 nucleotides) under Acanthochitona fascicularis. RNAcentral's name for it is "partial 16S ribosomal RNA". It matches the Rfam family "Bacterial large subunit ribosomal RNA", at positions 1819 to 2597 of the family's 2925-position model. Lineage: Eukaryota; Metazoa; Mollusca; Polyplacophora; Chitonida; Acanthochitonidae. The record is from RNAcentral.
CGCUCUUUGAGUCCAAAUAUAAAGAGUCGUGCCUGCCCAGUGAUAAUUUAAACGGCCGCAGUACCCUGACUGUGCUAAGGUAGCAUAAUCACUUGCUUUUUAAUUGAAAGCUAGAAUGAAUGGCUUGACGAAAACACUACUGUCUCUUUUACAUUAACUAAAAAUUAAUUUUUAGGUGAAGAAGCCUAAAUAAAUUCAAAAGACGAAAAGACCCUAUCGAGCUUAAAAAUAAAUUUAAUUUUACCGUAACAGCUAAUUUAAAAUUUAAAAAUAAUUUUUUGUUGGGGCGACAAAAGAACAUAUAAAGCUUCUUUUAAUUUAAAUAACCGAUAAGUUAAAACGAUCCAUUAAUACUGAUUAAAAGAAAAGUUACCGUAGGGAUAACAGCGUAAUUUCUUCGAAGAGCUCAAAUUGAAGAAGAAGUUUGCGACCUCGAUGUUGGAUUAAAAAUUCACCCCGGUGCAGCAGCCAGGGCAGAAGGUCUGUUCGACCUUUAAAAUUUU